GAUGAAGAGGAGGAGGGAACUGAAACAGAAACAGAGGAAGAGGAGUUGGAAGAAGUGAAUGAGAGAGGAGGAGUAGGUAGCGGUGCUGGUAGUGGACAAGUGAGGUUUGUGAUGGAGCAAGCACCAAAAUUGUCAGGUGGGGUGAUAAAUGUGCAUAGGUUAGCACUUAUGAUGAAUAAGCCCAUGGCGUUAGUUAAUAGGAACCCAACAUGGCCUAACAAGUUCGAUGAAAUGGUGAAAUUUGAAGAGGGUGUUGAGGAGGCAGUGAACCCAAUUACCCCAGUGACACAGUCACUCCCACCGCGGCCGCCAGUGUCUCGGAUGAUCCCCAUGCCGACAGGGGCAGCGGCUGCCGUGACAGCAAAAGCAGCAGCGUCGCUUAAUGCUUAUGAGUACUAUUGGAAGCCCAAGCCCAUGACAGCCAUCACCACAACAGCAGCAGCAGCAUCACUUUGUCCCAUGACUCAAAAAUCACAAUCAACAAGGAGCAACGACAACAAUAACAAAUUCAUCCUCUCAAAGAAUUUAAUAUCAAAAGAGAAGCAAGAAUUGCUAGUAUUGAGAGGGAACAAAGGGGAAUACUUAGUUCCUUUGUCAAAGAGUUGCAAGGAGGCAAGGAGGUCUCUUUUGUUUGGGGAGCCCUAUUGCAUUGCCACGUCUUGAUCCACAAAAUUAAAAAAAAAAAA
Molecule: unclassified non-coding RNA, 686 nt
Filed under: Hevea brasiliensis (rubber tree)
Lineage: Eukaryota; Viridiplantae; Streptophyta; Magnoliopsida; Malpighiales; Euphorbiaceae
Source: RNAcentral